AUGGAAGACAGGAACCAGAAUCACCAAAUUGCUGAAGAAACCCAGAUUAAAAAAGAGAAAACCUUGUUCGGGGUGAGGAACUGGAACUCGUGGGCAUGGUGGCAAGCAGGAAGAUGAGCAACAAAGGAAGCAAAAGAAGGGAAUUUGAAGGGCAGUGUGUUUCACAUCAAGACCAAAGGAUCAAGGACUGGAGAGAUCAGCUCUCAAGAGACAGACAUGACC
Molecule: long non-coding RNA, 222 nt
Organism: Eubalaena glacialis (North Atlantic right whale)
Lineage: Eukaryota; Metazoa; Chordata; Mammalia; Artiodactyla; Balaenidae
Exons: 3
Source: RefSeq, a predicted model, not a curated record